This 200-nucleotide ribosomal RNA is filed under the name uncultured bacterium. RNAcentral's name for it is "partial 16S ribosomal RNA". It matches the Rfam family "Bacterial small subunit ribosomal RNA", at positions 524 to 723 of the family's 1533-position model. The record is from RNAcentral.
UACGGAGGGUGCGAGCGUUGUCCGGAAUUAUUGGGUUUAAAGGGUGCGUAGGCGGUCUUUUAAGUCAGAGCUGAAAUCCCACGGCUUAACCGUGGAACUGGCUUUGAUACUGGAAGACUUGAGUAUAGUAGAGGUAGGCGGAAUUGAAGGUGUAGCGGUGAAAUGCAUAGAUAUCUUCAAGAACACCAAUUGCGUAGGCA